GAUGAAGAACGCAGCGAAAUGCGAUAAGUAAUGUGAGUUGCAGAAUUCAGUGAAUCAUCGAAUCUUUGAACGCACAUUGCGCCCGCCAGUAUUCUGGCGGGCAUGCCUGUCUGAGCGUCAUUUCAACCCUCAUGCCCCUAGGGCGUGGUGUUGGGGAUCGGCCAAAGCCCGCGAGGGACGGCCGGCCCCUAAAUCUAGUGGCGGACCCGUCGUGGCCUCCUCUGCGAAGUAGUGAUAUUCCGCAUCGGAGAGCGAUGAGCCCCUGCCGUUAAACCCCCAACUUUCCAAGGUUGACCUCAGAUCAGGUAGGAAUACCCGCUGAACUUAAGCAUAUCAAUAAGCGGAGGA
Molecule: unclassified non-coding RNA, 348 nt
Filed under: soil metagenome
Description: partial contains 5.8S ribosomal RNA, internal transcribed spacer 2, and large subunit ribosomal RNA
Rfam family: 5.8S ribosomal RNA (bases 1-120)
Source: RNAcentral